Cyanistes caeruleus (blue tit) is the source of this 987-nucleotide long non-coding RNA. RefSeq lists it as uncharacterized. The record is from RefSeq and is a predicted model, not a curated record. NCBI's taxonomy places the organism in Eukaryota, Metazoa, Chordata, Aves, Passeriformes, Paridae.
UUAAAAUAAUACCCCAUGAGUUCAUGGCCCAUGGACACACCUCUAGGAGGGCUGUGAAAUGGAAGGAAUUUCACAAAACAACUUUUUGCCUGGGCGGCUGCUAUUUGUGAAAAUGAAAAGCCAAGAGAAAACUGUUUCUUGUGGAGAAGUCUCCAUGACAUGACAAGAGAAAAAUCCUCUCCCUACAAGAACUGAUGAAAGCUAUUUAGAUAAAAACUAUUCAUCUAAACUAUUGAAUAGGAUCACCAGGGCAGAGACUUGUGUGAUGACUGAACAGCAGUACAUCUUUGUGUGCAGGUGGGAUGCCACCUUUGAAGGGCUGCUCAGUGUCCUGGGACUCUGGUUUCUCUUGUGAUGUGUCAGAGGUUGCAAUAACUGAUCUCACAGGAGGAGUUUUUCUCGGGAAAGGAUGUGGUAAAGUCUUCUGGAUGAUGAAAGGAAUCACUGGAUCCCUUGAACAAAAGCCAGCUGGAUUAUGAAAAUCCCUGCAGAAAAUGAGAUUGCUCUCUCCUUUGGACACUAAUGGAAAGACAGAGAAGAAGCAAUCCCAGGCUUCCCUUGAGACAAAGUCAGGCAGGCUGCAGUAAGCUUGCUUUGUUCUGCUGGUCUAUUCAUCACUGAUGUCAAGAGCAUGACAGUCUUAACAAGGAUCAAAUGGUUUUCUCUACAAUCUGUUUCUCAGAUAAGGUCUCUGGGAAAAAAAUGGGGUGGAGAAGGACAAGGAAGGAGAAGAAAUUAAUGAGGGAAAUGCAGAAGGAGUCUUUUGUCACUGAUCAUGGAUACCAGAAGAGAUAGAGAUCCUUUUUAUUUUUUUCCCUCCAUUUUAAAGCUACAGCCUUAGGCAAGUUAUACCAAAAUUGGGUUAUUUUUGGCCCAGUGAACUAUGAUUCACUAUUAUAGCUAAGAAUUUUGAAAAAGACAGAAACAAUUGUUGAUUUUAAAUCCGCACGAUUUUCUUUUAUGGAUGUAGUUUAUUUUCUUGCUUGA